GAUGAACGCUGGCGGCGUGCCUAAUACAUGCAAGUCGAGCGAACAGACGAGGAGCUUGCUCCUCUGACGUUAGCGGCGGACGGGUGAGUAACACGUGGAUAACCUACCUAUAAGACUGGGAUAACUUCGGGAAACCGGAGCUAAUACCGGAUAAUAUAUUGAACCGCAUGGUUCAAUAGUGAAAGACGGUUUUGCUGUCACUUAUAGAUGGAUCCGCGCCGCAUUAGCUAGUUGGUAAGGUAACGGCUUACCAAGGCAACGAUGCGUAGCCGACAUGAGAGGGUGAUCGGCCACACGGGAACUGAGAAACGGUCCCGACUCCUACGGGAGGCAGCAGUAGGGAAUCUUCCGCAAUGGGCGAAUGCCUGACGGAGCAACGCCGCGUGAGUGAUGAAGGUCUUCCGAUCGUAAAACUCUGUUAUUAGGGAAGAACAAAUGUGUAAGUAACUAUGCACGUCUUGACGGUACCUAAUCAGAAAGCCACGGCUAACUACGUG
This 497-nucleotide ribosomal RNA is filed under the name uncultured bacterium. RNAcentral describes it as "partial 16S ribosomal RNA". It matches the Rfam family "Bacterial small subunit ribosomal RNA", at positions 28 to 507 of the family's 1533-position model. The record is from RNAcentral.